CAGGCCAGCUUCUUGUGUGUCU
RNAcentral lists this non-coding RNA (22 nucleotides) under Arabidopsis thaliana (thale cress). The record is from RNAcentral. Lineage: Eukaryota; Viridiplantae; Streptophyta; Magnoliopsida; Brassicales; Brassicaceae.